RNAcentral lists this ribosomal RNA (253 nucleotides) under uncultured bacterium. RNAcentral describes it as "partial 16S ribosomal RNA". It matches the Rfam family "Bacterial small subunit ribosomal RNA", at positions 524 to 776 of the family's 1533-position model. The record is from RNAcentral.
UACGGAGGGGGCUAGCGUUGUUCGGAAUUACUGGGCGUAAAGGGCUCGUAGGUGGCCAACUAAGUCAGACGUGAAAUCCCUCGGCUUAACCGGGGAACUGCGUCUGAUACUGGAUGGCUUGAGAUUGGGAGAGGGAUGCGGAAUUCCAGGUGUAGCGGUGAAAUGCGUAGAUAUCUGGAGGAACACCGGUGGCGAAGGCGGCAUCCUGGACCAACACUGACACUGAGGAGCGAAAGCCAGGGGAGCAAACGGG